Molecule: long non-coding RNA, 907 nt
Filed under: Olea europaea (common olive)
Lineage: Eukaryota; Viridiplantae; Streptophyta; Magnoliopsida; Lamiales; Oleaceae
Description: long non-coding RNA (OEUR_LNC010032)
Source: RNAcentral
AAGUACACCAGGCAUUCUUGGACAAAUAAAAAUCAUGACACAUAUACAAAUACCUCGGGCAUAUUUGGGCUAGCAAAAUGAGAAGAUGUACAAACGACACGGUCUAGAACCCAAUGCUAAAAACUCAAAGUGAAUCAAAACAUACGAAUACAAAAAAAACGUAACUUUAUAAACGUGUGUUUUGAUUCGUCUCAUAGUGCUAUCCAAGUGUGGUCUAAGGCCAUCUCCAACCACAACACCAUUGCACCAUUUUUUGGUGCAAAAUUGCUCCAACCCAACACCAAACUUUGCACCAUUUUGCACCAAAAUGGUGCAAGUGUAAAAUGUCAAUUUUGCCCUUAUUUUACAUUUCCCAAAUAAAUUUGUUGAGGGUAUUUAUGUAAUUUGUGCUAUAUAUUUUUUAAUACAAUAAAUUAUUAUUAUUAUUAUUAAUAUUAAUAAUUAUUUGUGUUUAAAAUAAAUUUUAAAUGUAAGACAUAAUAAUUAAUUAAUUAAUUAAAAGACGAAAAUAAUUUAAAAUACAUCAAACACGAUUAAUUAAUUAUUUAUUUAGUAAUUUAUGUAUUUCUGAAAUAAUUAAAUAAAUAAUAUUUCAAAUAAGUAGAUUAUAAAGAAUAAAAAAAGGGAAGAAAAUGGUUAAAUACUGUUCAUUUGGUGUAAUUUUUGGUGUAAUGGUUGGAGAUGAAUUUUAGUUUGGUGUAAGAUUUGGUGCAAAAUUUGGUGCAAAAUGGUGCAAAAUUUGAUGAUGGGUUGGAAAUGGCCUAAUGUCUUUAAAAAUCUUUUUAUUCCUUGCCAUACAUAAAGUGGAAGGCUACUUGCUCCUAUUAAAGAGGGUGGUGCGCUCAAUGUGAAUGCCAUUCAUAUAUCGGACAAGGGAGAUUUCGCGUGUUUGGUUAUGACUUGUGAC